GCCUAAUACAUGCAAGUCGAACGCACUCUCGUUUAGAUUGAAGGAGCUUGCUCCUGAUUGAUAACAUUUGAGUGAGUGGCGGACGGGUGAGUAACACGUGGGUAACCUGCCCUAAAGUGGGGGAUAACAUUUGGAAACAGAUGCUAAUACCGCAUAAAACCUAACACCGCAUGGUGUAGGGUUGAAAGAUGGUUUCGGCUAUCACUUUAGGAUGGACCCGCGGUGCAUUAGUUAGUUGGUGAGGUAAAGGCUCACCAAGACCGUGAUGCAUAGCCGACCUGAGAGGGUAAUCGGCCACACUGGGACUGAGACACGGCCCAGACUCCUACGGGAGGCAGCAGUAGGGAAUCUUCCACAAUGGACGAAAGUCUGAUGGAGCAACGCCGCGUGAGUGAAGAAGGUUUUCGGAUCGUAAAACUCUGUUGUUGGAGAAGAAUGUAUCUGAUAGUAACUGAUCAGGUAGUGACGGUAUCCAACCAGAAAGCCACGGCUAACUACGUG
RNAcentral lists this ribosomal RNA (501 nucleotides) under uncultured bacterium. Its description in RNAcentral is "bacterial SSU rRNA". It matches the Rfam family "Bacterial small subunit ribosomal RNA", at positions 46 to 507 of the family's 1533-position model. The record is from RNAcentral.